RNAcentral lists this long non-coding RNA (1119 nucleotides) under Salarias fasciatus (jewelled blenny). RNAcentral describes it as "lncRNA (ENSSFAG00005022747.1)". Lineage: Eukaryota; Metazoa; Chordata; Actinopteri; Blenniiformes; Blenniidae. The record is from RNAcentral.
AUGACCUACGACCCUAAUCGAGAGUCACAGGUCCUGAAAUCUUUCACGUUCAGAGAUGUGGUGCAAGGCCGAGUCGCCAUUGAGGAAACUCUCAGCGACAGUGACAACCAACUCCCGAAUAACUCGCUCACCACCGCGCGGGGCCACGCCCCCGCCAGACCGCGCAACGAUUCCUUCGUCUUCUUGCUGAAGGCUGGAAACGUUCAGCCGGCGAAGGGCGAGCUCCACUUCACCAUCCUGCCCCACCACCAGAUGCGUCACGGCCCAGGCGGGCUCGGUAACGUGGACGGCGGCGGCCGCGAGCACACCACGACCCACCAGCCAACGCACAACAGGACGACGACCGGAGGAGGAAGAGGAGGCGGGAGAGGAGGAUCCACAACCCACGGCGGAGCUCCCACAGGUCUGCAUCCUCACAUUUUGUCGCACAAGAACAGGACGCACCACAGGCCCAAGUCUCACGGCCGCUGGGGGAACCAUUCGCGGAGCGGUUCCCAUGGGGGGAGACCGGGGAGCGGUGCGGAGGGAACAGGAGGAGGCCACGGUCAUGCCCCGCAGCCCAACGCUCCCGCUGUUCCGGAAAAACACGACCCGGGAAACCCUCCAGACACACACCUGGUUCACGUAGAGGUCCUCCCCCGCCCCGCCUCCGACCCUCUCCUCAUUAUCCUGCCCCUCUUGGCGUGUUUGCUUCUCAUUGUCAUCCUGGUGGUUUUGAUUUCGGUGUUCCGUCACCGCAAAGAGAAACAGGCUCGACUGCGGCUCAUCCAGGAGCUCGCGGCAGUGACGCUGCCCGCUGAGGAGAGCCCCUUCCUGGGGCCGUCGGAGAGGAGCGUGGCCAUGCCGUCCGUGGUGGUCACCCCACUCGGCUCCGCCAGCUGCCCAACCUCCCCCAGUAUCCCAAUCAGUCCCAGGAGGAGGAGUCUGGCUCCUGGGAUGACUUUCUGGGGGCCAGUUGAAGCUGAUGUGGGAGGGGCUGCUGGGAUUUCUACAAGUGGUAAAAAUGAAAGAGAUGAUGUUCCAGGGGAUAAUACCCAAGUCCAAACAGCAGGAUUCAAGAAUGCUGUGAGAUCUCGGUCACCUGCACCCACUCUAAAAGACAACCAGUACUGGGUUUAA